GAGCUUUUGCAGCAUUCUAUCAAUCCUAUCAAAGCAAUACAUUUAUUUAUUUAUCAGAGCAUGUCCAGGCCUGCAAAAACCGGGGAGGGGGGGAAGCUAUGGAGAGACACCCCCACCUCCUCCAUCCACCAUCUCCCAUCCAAGCAUCCACCUAAAAAAGCCACUGUCUGUCAAUCACAUUCAUUUCAAAAUCCCCCUCAACCUUUUUUCCUUUCUCCACCCCGCCCACCCCCACGACACGCACACACCGCGUCCAUUGCUGUUGAUAAUGUUAUUACUAUGCAACUGUUUGGAUGACAAUGCAUCCGUGGAGUGUGAAGCCAAUGGCGACAAUUUGUUUACCCGGUGACCCCCAUGCAUGCAUGCACAUUGUCUGGCUCCCCUUUGCGUUCUUACCUUGCUUUGGCCGAUCUCUCGUAACUCCAUCCUGCUCCAGCGCCCAAAUCGCCGAACCCUGUUCCCGGGUAAUUUCUAUCCAUCUAUGUGGGGUACAACCGUGUGCGAUGCGGGGAGUGAACGCGUCGUCGCGAGGGGAGGACAACCCAGUAUUUCCCGUGUGCUCGGUUUCAGGCUAUUUUCCCCAGUUUCAUAAGCAAGUCCUCAGGAGUGGAAAACAGCAUAUUGAAAGAGAAAUGGAGGGGAGGAGGAGAAAGCUGGAUGAAAAAAGAGGGGGGUUUACAGGGUUAUAAUCCAAGCACCUCGAUAAAACACACUCUUCCUCAUGUUCCUCCUUUUUUAUCAUUCCCACGAAGGUAGUCCAAAUCCAGUACGGUUCAUGGUGAAGAUGUCUCGGAUUUGGCCGCCAAUGCCUGAAUUGCUGAUAAACAUUUGAUUUUGAACGCGUCCCCUUUUUUCUCCUCUCCUCUCUUUUGGUGCCUCCUCCCCUUUCUUUAAGGCUAGUUUUGGCUACGCUGCUAGCGCCGAGAAAAUAUUGCAACGCACAGAGACGGCCAAGCGAUUCUCCCAACACACACACGCAUACACACACAUACAUACAUACACACCCCCGGCGGAGAAAUCCCUAAUUUACAAGUUUGUCCUUUGCAUGUAAAUAGCGAGCGCCAUUACCACUGCUAACACCCCUCCUCCUCUUUUAGCAUGCUAGCAGCAGAUGCUAGCUGUCAGCAACGACGCAUACAAAUAAAAGCGCCUCUAUUUCACUCGGUUUCCAGUGUUUAGGCCUUCUUAUUGUAUUCAAAUGAAACAUUCACACACAAAAACCGCGACAAGACUGAUAAAAAUCAUCCUAAAGAAAGCAGGCCGCGUUUUUUUGUCAUAUGUAUCUUUACUCAUUUUGAUCCAGAGACGCCAUUUUUGAAGGCGGCUGUUAGUACUCCUCUCUUCUUAGGGUUUCUCUCCUCGGCUCAGUGUCCGCGCUGACCUCCCCUAAGCUACCCGGCUCCUCUGCUAACCAGCCCGGCGUGCUUUUCCACAUUUCCCCCCACAUUGUUAAGCUAAAUAAACAUACACGGAAACUCAACAAGCCGUGACGUUGUUGUAAUACCGCAAAUGGGGAAAAUCUGUGCUAAUUCACAACUUAAUGUUUAAAAACCACCCACAGCCAACAUCACGCGUGUCUGUUUUAUUACACAUAGUCACAGCUCAAUUUUUACACAUAUCAAAGUGUACAUAUAACUCAAGAGUUCAUGUGGUAUUUCUUUUACAGUAUGUAGACAGCCAGUGUCUGUCUAGAAGACUCCAAUUGCAGUACACAUGUGCACCAAGUAGAUGGCACACUGGAAAACCACGACAAAGGACCACACCUCCGACAGAAACUGCAGCUGUUCUGUCAACAUGCCAGACUGUGAUGAAGCCCUGCCGGCACCCUGCCAGCUUAUCAAAGACAAUGUUGGCACGUGUAUCAGAGAGAAGGGAGUAAAGGAGUGCAGAGACCUCAUAGACGCCUUCCAGACCUGCGCAAAGACCCUGUCUGAAGGAUCAUGACACAUUCAGCAACAUCAGCAAUAUAUAGAAUAUACCCUACUCAACUGUGCUUACCAUCCCAGGACUGUCACUGGACUGAACCAUCUGGCUAAACUUGCUAAAACAUCUUCAUUUUCAAUUGAGAGGUGUGAAAAAAUAAUAUAGUUGGAUGAUAAAUGUAUUUUUGGAAGAAUUAUAUGCUUUACCAAGUUCAAGUUGUAUUAUUCUAAAAUCUAAAUAUAUAAGUACACACAAGGUCACAUGGUUCCAUGGGGUUAAUGCAUAAGCUAUCAUAAAGCGUUGUAUUGCUGGAGAAAAUAGUCUUCCAUUUCUAUUUUAUCAUAAGCACAAAUGUGAGAGAAAUUGUACUGGCUGCAUGCAAGAGAAUCACCCAGCUUGGCAUAGUUGAAGCUAGGCUUUGGGGAAUUAUCCACCCACGCAAAACAUUUCAGAUUGAGAUCUUAGGAAGCUUUUCACUUUGCAGAUGAUUCAUCAAAUGUCCUUUUUUUUACCAGAAAACCUCUAUGACUUUGGGAUUGUUUCACUCUACAUGUAUGUAACUGAUUCUCUCAAUUGUAUUGUAAUACCAUGUGAUAUAUGCUUUGCUGAUGUAGCAAUAAUGAUAAAGCCCAGA
This is a non-coding RNA of Doryrhamphus excisus (bluestripe pipefish), 2557 nucleotides long. The record is from RefSeq and is a predicted model, not a curated record. NCBI's taxonomy places the organism in Eukaryota, Metazoa, Chordata, Actinopteri, Syngnathiformes, Syngnathidae.